GACGAACGCUGGCGGCGUGCCUAAUACAUGCAAGUAGAACGCUGAAGGAGGAGCUUGCUCUUCUGGAUGAGUUGCGAACGGGUGAGUAACGCGUAGGUAACCUGCCUCGUAGCGGGGGAUAACUAUUGGAAACGAUAGCUAAUACCGCAUAACAGUAGAUGUUGCAUGACAUUUACUUAAAAGGUGCAAUUGCAUCACUACCAGAUGGUCCUGCGGUGUAUUAGCUAGUUGGUGGGGUAACGGCUCAACACGGCGACGAAUCUUAGGCGGCCUGGGGAGGGGAUCCGCCACAACGGGAAUGAGAAAAGGGCCAGAAUCCUACGGGAAGGAGCAGUAGGGGAACCUCGGGAAUGGAGGGAAGUCUGGCCGGAGAAAGCCGGGUGGGGGAAGAAGGGUUUCGGAUCGUAAAGCUCUGUUGUAUGGGGAGAAAGAGUGGGAGAGGGGAAAGUUCACGCUGUGACGGUAUCUUAUCAGAAAGCGACGGCUAACUACGUG
RNAcentral lists this ribosomal RNA (495 nucleotides) under uncultured bacterium. RNAcentral's name for it is "partial 16S ribosomal RNA". It matches the Rfam family "Bacterial small subunit ribosomal RNA", at positions 28 to 507 of the family's 1533-position model. The record is from RNAcentral.